GACGGAGGAUGCAAGCGUUGUCCGGAAUUAUUGGGCGUAAAGAGCUCGUAGGCGGUCUGUCGCGUCGGCUGUGAAAUCCCGAGGCUCAACCUCGGGUCUGCAGUCGAUACGGGCAAACUAGAGUAUUGCAGGGGAGACUGGAAUUCCUGGUGUAGCGGUGAAAUGCGCAGAUAUCAGGAGGAACACCGGUGGCGAAGGCGGGUCUCUGGGCAAUAACUGACGCUGAGGAGCGAAAGCGUGGGGAGCGAACAGG
This 253-nucleotide ribosomal RNA is filed under the name uncultured bacterium. RNAcentral describes it as "partial 16S ribosomal RNA". It matches the Rfam family "Bacterial small subunit ribosomal RNA", at positions 524 to 776 of the family's 1533-position model. The record is from RNAcentral.